Small nuclear RNA from Echinops telfairi (small Madagascar hedgehog), 117 nucleotides. Its record names the gene U5. It matches the Rfam family "U5 spliceosomal RNA". From Rfam's summary of the family: U5 RNA is a component of both types of known spliceosome. The record is from Ensembl. NCBI's taxonomy places the organism in Eukaryota, Metazoa, Chordata, Mammalia, Afrosoricida, Tenrecidae.
AUACUUUGGUUUCUCUUCAAAUCGGAUAAAUCUUUCGCCUUUUACUAAAGAUUUUCAUAGAGGGAAACAAAUAUGAGUCUUUAAACCAAUUUUUUGAGCUCUUGUGUAAACAAGGAU